UUAUUUCUAAUAAAUGCAAGAACGGGUCAAAACUUGUAAAAAGGUAGUGAGUCGAUGGUGCGUAAGAUAAGAAUUUUCUUAAUCCGGGUAUGGGUUUUCAAGUUUAUAUGAUAGAUUGUGAAUUUACAAGCAUGUAGGAAGAAACGGGAGGUUAAACGGACAAUCGGGUUAAAAGUUAUGCGAGUUUUCGUGUGUUCGAACGAUAAAAACAACACAGCAUGAAAACCAGCAUUUGAGAGGCCGUCGCCGACGCCCCUAGGGCCGUCGCCGACGCCUCAUGCAAAACCAGUUUUCUCCGACGCUCUAAUUUGCUGUCUACGGACCCUCACCCGACGGACAAAACUAGAGGGCGUCGCCGACGGUCCGAUGAGGCGUCGGCGACGGUGCCUCUGUUCCUGAUUUCUGUUUUCGCCGUUACGCGCUCCCGGGUGAUCUUGUUUUCGACCCGUUGCUUCGUAAAGUUUCCAAAGGGCUUCGUAAACUUUGUCAGACUUAAGAAAGCACCAACCUUAUUAAAUAGGUAACUAAGAACUCAAGUUCAUGUGAGGGUGUGGAUCUAUAGACAAAUAAAUUAUGUGGUCGAAUGUGUUAGAGCGUGUUAUACGGGUGAGAAGAUAAAACUUGUUCAUAAGGAUGCUUAUAGAUAAAUUAUUGCGCGUGAUUAAAGUACAAUGAUUGAAGGUGGUUGGGUGAGUAUGACUCGAAUGCUCGUAUGGAGGCAUAUGAUUGUAGAGUGUAAGAGUUAGUUACUAAUGUUUAUGUGAAGAUGUAAGUUUUCAAUACAUUGGGGAAUAAGCGUUGCUAACUGUUUUGCUUUCGAGAAUGGUCUUAGAAAUGCAGGUAUGUAAGUGAUGUAUUCACGAAGGUUGGAGUCCUGGUGUACUGAACGAAUUCGAAGGACGUACUAUUGGGGUUAGUCAGAUCAUUAUUAUUACCAUGGGAGAUAAGUGGACAACGAUCGAGUUGAAGACCAUGGAUUGCACGGGGAAGUGGCGAUAGAUGUAAUUAUAUGUUAGUGUAGUUUUUGGUCUAUAACGAAGGAUGUAUUUAAGUUAAAGAAAGAUUGAUUUAAAUGAUUUAAGGCACAUUAGAACAACUAUAAAGGAAGAAAUUUUAUAGUUCAUUUUCCGCUGCGUCGUUUUAGUCAAAACGUGAUUAAGGGUCUAACAUAAAUCAAUGAUGAUGAGAACCCAAAGUUCUGCCAAAAGUAUACAAAGUCCCGUUUGUUU
Molecule: long non-coding RNA, 1229 nt
Filed under: Helianthus annuus (common sunflower)
Lineage: Eukaryota; Viridiplantae; Streptophyta; Magnoliopsida; Asterales; Asteraceae
Description: hypothetical non coding rna
Source: RNAcentral